Zalophus californianus (California sea lion) is the source of this 402-nucleotide long non-coding RNA. RefSeq lists it as uncharacterized. Lineage: Eukaryota; Metazoa; Chordata; Mammalia; Carnivora; Otariidae. The record is from RefSeq and is a predicted model, not a curated record. The transcript is spliced from 3 exons.
UUUGUUUAAGAUCAUGAAGGGAAUGGUAAGUAGGACUUCCGGCUUUUAACACCACAUGGCCUUCACUAGACUUCUUGAGUAGGAUCUGAUCCCACGCUGUUCUCAGUUCUGGUCUAGAAGACCCAAUGUCCUGGAAGAUUUCAUUCUGUCAGCAAGCCUGUUCAGGAAGUUAUUUAAAAUCAAGAGGUGCAGAAGAGAGCCUAGAAGAACUGCAGAGGGAGAGUUGGAUUGGGUGCUCUGUUCCUCUUCUGGACCUUCUGCUGCUCAGACCAGCUGGAGUCAGCACCCACCUGGCCACUUCCAGACUGAUCAUCACCAGAUGCUGCCCUGUGCUCUGAGCCAUCCCUGUAGCAACACUGAUUCACAUGAGUAAAGUUUCACUUCCGCAGAGACCUUCUGGCU